UUGCUUUCCAGGGGUAAGUAGUGCUUAUGCUUUACUACUAUACUACUAUUUCUCUUUGUUUAAUUCCAAAUUUAUGUUCAUCUAUUCCUGACUCACAAUUCCAAAUUAUUGAUUUUGACUUGCACAUAGGGACUUAAGACAUUCGUAUUUAAAGGACAAGGUCGAAUGAUCGGAACAACUCCUCAAUGUUUUCUGUCACAUCUAAAGAUAGUUGACCUCCCGAUAGUUAAAGAAAAAGAACUAUGCUUCACUAGAUUUUUGAUAAAAAGUGCAACAGUCUUGGAUAAACUGACUGUCAGAGUGGGAACAUGCAGAGGAAGAAUUAUGCAGCAGUUAGAAAAGCUUGCUAAAAAUUCAAACUGUGUGAUUGAAUUUGCUUCGAAUGAUAACUAAUACUGUAUUUGGGCUUACAAGUGUAUUCCUGUUACCAAAUUAC
This 436-nucleotide long non-coding RNA is filed under the name Aquilegia coerulea. RNAcentral's name for it is "long non-coding RNA (ACOE_LNC000708)". Lineage: Eukaryota; Viridiplantae; Streptophyta; Magnoliopsida; Ranunculales; Ranunculaceae. The record is from RNAcentral.